AUUGAACGCUGGCGGCAGGCCUAACACAUGCAAGUCGAGCGGAUGAAGGGAGCUUGCUCCUGGAUUCAGCGGCGGACGGGUGAGUAAUGCCUAGGAAUCUGCCUGGUAGUGGGGGAUAACGUGCGGAAACGGGCGCUAAUACCGCAUACGUCCUGAGGGAGAAAGUGGGGGAUCUUCGGACCUCACGCUAUCAGAUGAGCCUAGGUCGGAUUAGCUAGUUGGUGGGGUAAAGGCCUACCGAGGCGACGAUCCGUAACUGGUCUGAGAGGAUGAUCAGUCACACUGGAACUGAGACACGGUCCAGACUCCUACGGGAGGCAGCAGUGGGGAAUAUUGGACAAUGGGCGAAAGCCUGAUCCAGCCAUGCCGCGUGUGUGAAGAAGGUCUUCGGAUUGUAAAGCACUUUAAGUUGGGAGGAAGGGCAGUAAGUUAAUACCUUGCUGUUUUGACGUUACCAACAGAAUAAGCACCGGCUAACUUCGUG
RNAcentral lists this ribosomal RNA (484 nucleotides) under uncultured bacterium. Its description in RNAcentral is "partial 16S ribosomal RNA". It matches the Rfam family "Bacterial small subunit ribosomal RNA", at positions 30 to 507 of the family's 1533-position model. The record is from RNAcentral.